RNAcentral lists this ribosomal RNA (253 nucleotides) under uncultured bacterium. RNAcentral describes it as "partial 16S ribosomal RNA". It matches the Rfam family "Bacterial small subunit ribosomal RNA", at positions 524 to 776 of the family's 1533-position model. The record is from RNAcentral.
UACGUAGGGUGCAAGCGUUGUCCGGAAUUAUUGGGCGUAAAGAGCUCGUAGGCGGUUUGUCGCGUCUGCUGUGAAAACCCGAGGCUCAACCUCGGGCCUGCAGUGGGUACGGGCAGACUAGAGUGCGGUAGGGGAGAUUGGAAUUCCUGGUGUAGCGGUGGAAUGCGCAGAUAUCAGGAGGAACACCGAUGGCGAAGGCAGGUCACUGGGCCGCAACUGACGCUGAGGAGCGAAAACAUGGGGAGCGAACAGG